CCCUGCUAGAAAAAAAGAAAAGACAACAUUAGACAUACACAAAGGUCUUAACAGAAAACAUACCUGGAAUUCCUCAAUCUGCGUCGCGACCUGCUAGAAAAAAAGAAAAGGCAACAUUAGACAUACACAAAGGUCUUAACAGAAAACAUACCUGCGAAUCCUCAAUCUGCGUCGCGCCCUGCUAGAAAAAAAGAAAAGGCGAAAUUAGACAUACACAAAGGUCUUAACAGAAAACAUACCUGGAAUCCUCAAUCUGCGUCGCCCCUGCUAGAAAAAAAGAAAAGGCGAAAUUAGACAUACACAAAGGUCUUAACAGAAAACAUACCUGGAAUUCCUCAAUCUGCGUCGCGCCCUGCUAGAAAAAAAGAAAAGGCGACAUUAGACAUACACAAAGGUCUUAACAGAAAACAUACCUGCGAAUCUUCAAUCUGCGUCGCGCUCUGCUGGGAAAAAAAAGAAAAGACAACAUUAGACAUACACAAAGGUCUUAACAGAAAACAUACCUGGAAAUCCUCAAUCUGCGUCGCGCCCUGCUAAAAAAAAAAAAAGGCCACACGACCUAAAGGCAAUCUGCGUCAAGACCUGCUAGAAAAAAAGAAAAGGCGACAUUAGACAUACACAAAGGUCUUAACAGAAAACAUACCUGGAAUUCCUCAAUCUGCGUCGCGACCUGCUAGAAAAAAAGAAAAGGCGACAUUAGACAUACACAAAGGUCUUAACAGAAAACAUACCUGGAAUUCCUCAAUCUGCGUCGCGCCCUGCUAGAAAAAAAGAAAAGGCAACAUUAGACAUACACAAAGGUCUUAACAGAAAACAUACCUGAAAAUCCUCAAUCUGCGUCGCGCCCUGCUAG
This 853-nucleotide long non-coding RNA is filed under the name Mytilus galloprovincialis (Mediterranean mussel). Lineage: Eukaryota; Metazoa; Mollusca; Bivalvia; Mytilida; Mytilidae. The record is from RNAcentral.